This 840-nucleotide ribosomal RNA is filed under the name uncultured bacterium. Its description in RNAcentral is "bacterial SSU rRNA". It matches the Rfam family "Bacterial small subunit ribosomal RNA", at positions 58 to 916 of the family's 1533-position model. The record is from RNAcentral.
CAAGUCGUACGGUAAGCUUCGGCUUAUAGUGGCGAGAGGGAGAGUAACGCGUGGUUACAUGCCCUCGGGACCGGGAUAGCGGCGGGAAACUGCCGGUAAUACCGGAUAAUAUCUUUGGAUCAAAGGUGUGAUUCCGCCCGAGGAUUGGAUCGCGUUCUAUUAGCUUGUUGGCGGGGUAAUGGCCCACCAAGGCGACGAUGGAUACCGGGUGUGAGAGCAUGGCCCGGCUCACUGGGACUGAGACACUGCCCAGACACCUACGGGUGGCUGCAGUCGAGAAUCUUCGGCAAUGGGGGCAACCCUGACCGAGCGACGCCGCGUGCGGGACGAAGGCCUUCGGGUUGUAAACCGCUGUCAGUUGGGAGGAAGUGCCGGGGGGUUCUCCCCUCGGUUUGACCGAUCUUCAGAGGAAGGACGGGCUAAGUUCGUGCCAGCAGCCGCGGUAAGACGAACCGUCCAAACGUUAUUCGGUAUCACUGGGCUUAAAGCGUGCGUAGGCGGCCUGGUAGGUGAGGUGUGAAAGCCCACGGCUCAACCGUGGAAUUGCGCUUCAAACCACCAGGCUGGAGGAUGGCAGGGGUGAUGGGAACUGAUGGUGGAGCGGUGAAAUGCGUUGAUAUCAUCAGGAACACCGGUGGCGAAGGCGCAUCACUGGGCCAUUUCUGACGCUGAGGCACGAAAGCUAGGGUAGCGAACGGGAUUAGAUACCCCGGUAGUCCUAGCUGUAAACGAUGAGCACUGGGUUGAGGGGGCCUCCACAUCUUCUCGGCCGUAGCGAAAGCGUUAAGUGCUCCGCCUGGGGAGUAUGGCCGCAAGGCUGAAACUCAAAGGAAUUGACGG